This 331-nucleotide ribosomal RNA is filed under the name uncultured eukaryote. RNAcentral's name for it is "partial 18S ribosomal RNA". It matches the Rfam family "Eukaryotic small subunit ribosomal RNA", at positions 1469 to 1796 of the family's 1831-position model. The record is from RNAcentral.
ACCCUUAGAUGUCCUGGGCCGCACGCGCGCUACACUGAUGCAUGCAACGAGUUUCAUUUCUCCUGGGUCGAGAGGCCCGGGUAAUCUGUUGAACGUGCAUCGUGAUAGGGAUAGAUCAUUGCAAUUAUUGAUCUUGAACGAGGAAUUCCUAGUAAACGCGAGUCAUCAGCUCGCAUUGAUUACGUCCCUGCCCUUUGUACACACCGCCCGUCGCACCUACCGAUUGAAUGAUUCGGUGAAGAUUCCGGACCGUGUUGUCACCGCUUCACGGCGGUUUUGACGUGGGAAGUUAUCUAAACCUCAUCAUUUAGAGGAAGGUGAAGUCGUAACA